This 232-nucleotide ribosomal RNA is filed under the name uncultured bacterium. RNAcentral describes it as "partial 16S ribosomal RNA". It matches the Rfam family "Bacterial small subunit ribosomal RNA", at positions 118 to 350 of the family's 1533-position model. The record is from RNAcentral.
UGGGCAACCUGCCCCUAGCACUGGGAUAACCCCGGGAAACCGGGGCUAAUACCGGAUAUGACCUCGGUGGGCAUCUUCUGAGGUGGAAAUGUUCCGGCGGCUAGGGAUGGGCCCGCGGCCUAUCAGCUUGUUGGUGAGGUAACGGCCCACCAAGGCGGCGACGGGUAGCCGGCCUGAGAGGGCGACCGGCCACACUGGGACUGAGACACGGCCCAGACUCCUACGGGAGGCA